UCCAGACUCCUACGGGAGGCAGCAGUGAGGAAUAUUGGUCAAUGGCCGAGAGGCUGAACCAGCCAAGUCGCGUGAGGGAUGACGGCCCUACGGGUUGUAAACCUCUUUUGCCGGGGAGCAAAGAGCGGGACGCGUCCCGCCUCGAGAGUACCCGGAGAAAAAGCAUCGGCUAACUCCGUGCCAGCAGCCGCGGUAAUACGGAGGAUGCGAGCGUUAUCCGGAUUUAUUGGGUUUAAAGGGUGCGCAGGCGGCCUGUUAAGUCAGGGGUAAAAGCCCGGGGCUCAACCCCGGCGAGCCGUUGAGACUGGCGGGCUGGAGUUGGAGAGAAGUACGCGGAAUGCGCGGUGUAGCGGUGAAAUGCUUAGAUAUCGCGCAGAACCCCGAUUGCGAAGGCAGCGUACCGGCUCCACACUGACGCUGAGGCACGAAAGCGUGGGUAUCGAACAGGAUUAGAUACCCGGGUAA
This 465-nucleotide ribosomal RNA is filed under the name uncultured bacterium. Its description in RNAcentral is "bacterial SSU rRNA". It matches the Rfam family "Bacterial small subunit ribosomal RNA", at positions 330 to 793 of the family's 1533-position model. The record is from RNAcentral.